CAACUGAAAGUUUAAGGAUAAACGGAGCUGGCAUGGCUUCUCUUCAGGUCGGUCUAUCUUUCCCAUGCGGACCUCGAACUUCCAUAUAUCGGUUCAGAAACCGGCCGGUUCGAUGCACUAAUGAACGCCGGGCGCUCUUUAGCCGUAUUGCUCCUGUUUACGAUGACGUGCACCCUGUUUCCCCUUUGUUUCUUUUGUUUUAUUUCAUUUUAUUUCAUGUUAUUUAUGAUUUUUUUUUGUCGGAACAGUUGAAUGAUUUGUUGAGUUUGGGUCAGCAUCGAAUAUGGAAACGAAUGGCUGUAUCCUGGACUGGGGCAAAAAUGGGGGACAGUGUGUUGGAUUUGUGUUGUGGAAGUGGAGAUUUAGCAUUUCUCGUCUGACAAAGUUGGCUCCAAUGGAAAGGUUUCUUCUUUUCUCUCCUUAUGUUAUUUCUAUGUUCUUAGCAGUUUCUUGAUUAGAAAAUGUGCUAAGAAGCUUGAUGUUGGUUCAUGCAAAUUUGUGAAAUCAAUUAUGUGAAAUUUCAUUUGCUUGGGUAAUGAUAAUAUUGGUGAAGAAACACUGGGAUGAAAUUCUAACAAUGAGUACUGUUGUUCUAGUUUAAUUUGAUUGUGGUUGGAUUCUAGAGAUGAGAGUGCUAAUCUUGAGUAGCCUAGGGUUAAUGGGUCUAUUAAUGGAAAAUUAGUGAUGAAACAUAUUUUUGAACUUGUGGCUGGCUUCCCUCUAAUCAUAUAGUAGUUUGUUGCAUCUAACCUUAUUUUCUCUAUAACAAAAAAUGCUUUCUAGUAAGCACAAACUUGCAUUUUGUAUAAGUAUUAAUAUUUUAGCUGUUAACUGUUUGUUUCAUAUAAUGUUGUUGUCUUGUUGAAUGUCUUGCUUUCUGACUUUGUCUAAACUUGUGCUAUUGCAUAUACAUUUAUACAGUAUAGUUUGUAUAGUUUUGUUGUACAAUUCCCUUUUUUUAGCGACACUGUAGGUGACAGGUGUUGAUUUCUUGAGGGAGCAGCUGUUGAUUGCUUCAUCCCGGCAACAAUUGUCUUCAAAAGAAUGCUACCAAAUCAUCGAGUGAGCAUUGGUAUAUAUCAGCUUGGUGAAUGAAAAGAUUUUUAAUAGAUAGGGACACUGAAAGAUGCUUAAGGGGGUGGGGAAAAAACCCUUGGAAAAUGCUUAUCAAGUUCUAUACGAUUCAUGUAUAAUCAUUGAGUUUUCUGGCCUCAAUAAUGUGAAUGGUAGGGUGUCCUGCUCUAAAAAGAGAUUCUUGUGAUCACAGGUGGGUUGAGGGUGAUGCAACUGAUUUGCCAUUUUCUGAUUGUAACUUUGAUGCUGUUACCAUGGGUUAUGGGCUCCAAAAUGUGAUAGAUAAGUGCAAGGCCAUGCAGGAGAUAUUUCGAAUCCUCAAACCAGGUCCUUUUUUUGCUUUCCCUCUGCCUGAAAAUUAUCCAAUAAAAUGAUAGGUUGAUCAAAAAUUUCUCAUCCUUGCUCUGGGAUGUUUCGAAUCCC
This 1497-nucleotide unclassified non-coding RNA is filed under the name Hevea brasiliensis (rubber tree). Lineage: Eukaryota; Viridiplantae; Streptophyta; Magnoliopsida; Malpighiales; Euphorbiaceae. The record is from RNAcentral.